GCACUCUUUCUUAUUGGAGCUUGCUGAAACAAUUGCUAAGCUUGAUGAAUCAUUAGGGGAAUCUGAUACCUCAGCCAUAAAAUUUUGCACUAGUGACCAAUUGCCUAGCUGCAUUGCUGCCUCUGUCAUAGAUGCUGUCAAAAUGAUUGAUGAUCUUAGAGAGAGACUUCAAGCUACUGCCUCCAGUGGCGAAGCAUUUAGGAUGUUAUAUGAA
Molecule: unclassified non-coding RNA, 214 nt
Filed under: Hevea brasiliensis (rubber tree)
Lineage: Eukaryota; Viridiplantae; Streptophyta; Magnoliopsida; Malpighiales; Euphorbiaceae
Source: RNAcentral